AACGAACGCUGGCGGCAUGCUUAACACAUGCAAGUCGAACGCAUCCUUCGGGGCGAGUGGCAGACGGGUGAGUAACGCGUGAGAACGUGCCCUUCAGUUCGGAAUAACCCGGGCAAACUGGAGCUAAUACCGGAUACGUGCGAGAGCAGAAAGAUUUAUCGCUGAAGGAUCGGCACGAGUCUGAUUGGCUGGUUGGUGGGGUAAUGGCCCACAAAGGCGACGAUCAGUAGCUGGUCUGAGAGGCUGAUCAGCCACAUUGGGACUGAGACACGGCCCAAACUCCUACGGGGGGCAGCAGUGGGGAAUAUUGGACAAUGGGCGCAAGCCUGAUCCAGCCAUGCCGCGUGAGUGAUGACGGCUUUAGGGUUGUAAAGCUCUUUCGUCCGGGACGAUAAUGACGGUACCGGAAGAAGAAGCCCCGGCUAACUUCGUGCCAGCCGCCGCCGUAA
Molecule: ribosomal RNA, 449 nt
Filed under: uncultured bacterium
Lineage: Bacteria
Description: partial 16S ribosomal RNA
Rfam family: Bacterial small subunit ribosomal RNA
Source: RNAcentral